Molecule: ribosomal RNA, 467 nt
Filed under: uncultured bacterium
Lineage: Bacteria
Description: partial 16S ribosomal RNA
Rfam family: Bacterial small subunit ribosomal RNA
Source: RNAcentral
GAUGAACGCUGACAGAAUGCUUAACACAUGCAAGUCAACUUGAACUUGGGUUUUUAACUUAGGUUUGGGUGGCGGACGGGUGAGUAACGCGUAAAGAACUUGCCUCACAGCUAGGGACAACAUUUGGAAACGAAUGCUAAUACCUAAUAUUAUGAUAAUAGGGCAUCCUAUAAUUAUGAAAGCUAUAAGCGCUGUGAGAGAGCUUUGCGUCCCAUUAGCUAGUUGGAGAGGUAACGGCUCACCAAGGCGAUGAUGGGUAGCCGGCCUGAGAGGGUGAUCGGCCACAAGGGGACUGAGACACGGCCCUUACUCCUACGGGAGGCAGCAGUGGGGAAUAUUGGACAAUGGACCGAGAGUCUGAUCCAGCAAUUCUGUGUGCACGAUGAAGUUUUUCGGAAUGUAAAGUGCUUUCAGUUGGGAAGAAACAAAUGACGGUACCAACAGAAGAAGUGACGGCUAAAUACGUG